AUCUAUGCUAAUGCAUACGAGAGAGGAGACCUCACCAUAACAUGCCUGACAAGUAGCCACUUCUCUAAUAAUGAUAUUUUCUGAAUAAAUACAUAUUUAUUAGUUUUCUAACGAAAAAAACUGUGCAUUAUAUCCUACAAGGAAUCUUGCACAAUUUAAACCAUUAUUGUGAUUAAUCUAUUUCAUUUUUCACAUUUAUUUGUAAAUAUAUCUCUUCCUACUCCCCUAUUAAAGAAGUUUUCCUUAUAAGAUUAAAAAAGAAAAGAAAAAGAAACAAAUAUAAAACUAACAAAUUCUCAUCUCUUUAUUUAAUAUUUGUAUACAUUGUUCCACACUGGGAAUCUCCCACUUAAUGCAAUGAAGGGAGGGAGGUACAUGUUCUCCGCUCUUCUGUGGGACCAUCCUUUGUCCUUAAAAUUACAUAUUAUGUUGUAUUUUUGUUGUCAUCAUAUAUUUUGUUUGCUCUUCUUAUUUCCCUGUAAUAGUUCACCUAAGUCUUUCCUUGCUUCACUGAAUUCUUCAUAUUUGUCAUUUUUUAAAGUUGGGACAGUAGGCCUGAAAUCAAAUAGACAAUCCCAAAGCUGGACAUUUCUUUGGAGGAAUUAUGCCAGGAAAGUCUUAUAAGGGAUGGUACCUUGGACUGUGAGUUGAGUCAAAUCUGGAAAUGUGGCACCCAGCUAGUGAGGAAAUAAUAAUGAAUGUAAUGAUUGUGGGAAGGCCUUCUGCUGCAAGAUAGACCUCAUUUGACAUCAGAUGAUCCAUACUGUGAAAGAUCUUAAGAAUGUAAUGACUAUGGGAAGACUUUCUGCCUGACUACAGCUCUUAAUUUACAUUGAAGAAUUCAUAUUGGAGGAAAAUCUCAUUAGUGUAAUGAAUGUUGUAAGGCCUUGUACCUGAUCAAAGAACUUACUCAAAAUCAAAAGAUUCAUACUGGAGGCAAACCUUCUAAGUGUAAUGAGUGUGGAGAGCUUUCCUUCACAAGAGAGACCUCAGUUGACAUUAGAAUAUUCUCACUAGAGAUACACCUUGGCAAGGUGUUGCGCCAUAGUACAGUUCUCAUCGGGCAUCAAUCUGGAGAGAAGCCUUACGAAUGUAAGCAAUGUGGGAAGUCGUUUCCUUGGAAAAUGUAGGA
This is a long non-coding RNA of Sarcophilus harrisii (Tasmanian devil), 1132 nucleotides long. RefSeq lists it as uncharacterized. NCBI's taxonomy places the organism in Eukaryota, Metazoa, Chordata, Mammalia, Dasyuromorphia, Dasyuridae. The transcript is spliced from 2 exons. The record is from RefSeq and is a predicted model, not a curated record.